This is a non-coding RNA of Nicotiana tabacum (common tobacco), 1928 nucleotides long. The record is from RefSeq and is a predicted model, not a curated record. Lineage: Eukaryota; Viridiplantae; Streptophyta; Magnoliopsida; Solanales; Solanaceae.
UCAGCCACACCCCUAACCCCCAUCUCCAUGCUAUUGCCGCUUCCAACUCGCCCAAACUCGCCGGAAUCGGGCGAGUUCACCCUCAACGAGUCCCAUGGUCCCCCCCUCUCUUCUCUCCUUCUUCCACGUCACUCAUUUCGUACAAAUCUCAUCAUUUCAAUCCGACUCACACAAAUUUCUUCUUUUAUUUUCCUUUUGUUUAAACACAAAUCCGAGGCCCUUGAAUAAAUUUGGGAGAAAUGGGAACCGUUGGAUGAAGAUUUUUGUCCUAAGUCUCCAUUUUUCCGAUUUUUGUUUGUGAAAGGGGGAUUUUCAGAUUUGAUUUUGGGUCCCACAUGAUUUCUUGCUGAGGAAUAAGAAGCUUCGAGAGAAGGAUAUAUAUUUGGAGCCUUUAGACAGAGAAAAGGGGAGGAGGGGAGAUUGAGAAAAAGCACUUGAAGAAAUUAGGGUUCUAGGGUUCUUGAGGCUUUCUUCUGAUUCUUCCAUUUUUAUUUUUUUAUUUUUCGCUUCCAGAAAAUCAAAAAAAAAUAAAACAAAAAAAAUAAAUUAUUUUCAGUUUCUGUUUUCAUUUUCCGUCAUGGGAUUCGAUUGAAGCGUUAUUGAGUGCUGAAGAUUUGUUCGCCAGUCUAGGUGUUCGUGUCCGCGUUCCCUGAGCUGGCUUCCUCCUCUGUUGCUUCAUUGUUGACUCUGGAUUUUCAGUAGGUGUUUUCGUUCUCAAGUUCGUUACCAAAUCCUCUUCUGUUGUAAUCGAUUCCUUCAUAAUUAAUCGAAAGCUUAAUUUCCAGAAGGUUUAGUGAGGUUUGGAAUGAAAAAGGGGUGACAGGGUAAAAGUCAAUUGGAGUCAAAUGGGAUUACAAAACCAAACUCAAUGAGAAUGGUGAAGUUGACAAGUACAUGGCGCGUUUGGUGGCCAAAGAAUAUAAGAGUAUGGUGUGGAGUACAAGGAGGUCUCCAGUAGUUAGACUUGAUACCAUUAGGUUGGUGGUAGCAUUGGCAGCCCAAAACAACUGGCCAAUUUAUCAACUAGAAGUGAAAUCGACCUUCUUACAUGGCGAAUUAAAAGAGCGGGUAUAUCUAAUAGAUCAACCCUCUGGAUAUGUGAAGCAAGGCAGGGAACAUAAGGUUUAUAGAUUGAAAAAGGCAUUGUAUGGGCUAAAACAAGCUCCACAAGCUUGGUAUAGUCGCAUUGAUGAUUAUUUCAAUAUGGCAGGUUUUAGAAAAUGCCUAUAUGAGCAUACGCUCUAUUCAAAAAUUGAAGAUGGAAAGCUUGUCAUUGUAUGCUUAUAUGUAGAUGAUUUGAUCUAUACUGGAAAAUCCUAUAUUGCUUAAAAAUUUUAAGCAAUCGAUGUUGACUGAGUUUGGUAUGUCGGAUCUUUGCUUGAUGUGUUAUUUUCUGGGCAUUAAAGUGAAGCAAUCUUCUAUCUGGAAUUUUCAUUUCUGGGCAUCAAAAUCUUCAUUUUGAUGAGGUUUGAAAUGCCAAAGUGCAAUUCUGCAGGGACGGGGCUGAAGUUGGAAAAAGAUCUUACAGGGAAGAAGAUUGACAGCACCUUCGACAAGAAGAUAGUGGGGAGUUUGAUGUAUUUAUUAGACCUGAUAUAAUGUACUCUGUAAGCUGAUACAUAGAAUAUCCUAAAGAGAGAGACUCACUUGUUGGCAUUCUCAACGUACUAUUGAUUUUGUCAUUUUGUACAAGAAAGAAGGAAAAUCAGAUUUAAUCGACUCUACAGAGCGAUUUUGCUGGAGAUAGGAAAGCACAUUAAGUUAUGUCUUUAUGUUUGGAUCAGGUGCAAACACAUGGAUAUUUUCUAACUCUAGCUAGUAUGAAGCUCCGAGUGAUUGUGUGCAUGAACCACACUCCUGUACAAGCUAAGUACCAUUAGAUUCAGUCCGAUUGUAUUUCUUUCAAUGGAUCCACCGAGUUAUAUCUA